GAAACAUCCAUCUAAGUCCACCAAAACAACUGGAAAUGACAGAGGCAUAGAAUCUCAGAAUGAGAUUAACACCUUGACAUCACUUCACAAAUGUACAGUACAGAACAGUGUCACUCUUGUCCCAAUAGUUUACCAAGUUGUAACCAGCAACUCAAAUUACUGGACACAACAUGGAGUAGAUAAUUUAACAAUCUUCAUUCUGUUUAACAAACAAAAUAAAACGGUAUCAGCAUCACAAUUGCUUCAUUUUCCCUUCAAAACACAUGAAUAUGAACUUAUGUUGCAAAGACAGACGCUGAGAUUCAUUAUUCAAGAAGGCCAAGAAACUUACUGGGCCUAGCUAAAACACUAAAUUCAAGAAAAGGAUGAUAAAAAAGCAGAAACCAAAACCAUAAUUCUUUAUCCUCGAUAUCAUCAGGAACCAAAAUUUAAAGACCUAUGACCCAUCCUUGAUGGAAAUGACGAGGAAAUUGCCAAAAUUAACAGUGCAAAUUGAGAAGAAGACAAAGAUACUAUAUCAAUUCUUUCUCACAAGAGCCAUAGAAGGGCAAAACUUUCAGUCAGCCAUCAAUACAAGAACUACACCCACGUUUGGCCGCUGAGAAAAUUAAUAGGGAUAAUCACCAGUUCAUCUGAACCAGAAAAAUUCAAACAAAAAACAAUUUCCUUUUUUGUGGAAAAAGAAUAAGUAGUUGCCUUGGCAAUUGAGUUUCCUCCAAUUUUCUUAGUUUCCACAUCAACCAAACAGAUUAAUAU
RNAcentral lists this unclassified non-coding RNA (756 nucleotides) under Hevea brasiliensis (rubber tree). Lineage: Eukaryota; Viridiplantae; Streptophyta; Magnoliopsida; Malpighiales; Euphorbiaceae. The record is from RNAcentral.